AACGAACGCUGGCGGCAGGCCUAACACAUGCAAGUCGAGCGAGCAUUUCGGUGCUAGCGGCGGACGGGUGAGUAACGCGUGGGAACGUGCCCUUUUCUGCGGAAUAGUCCUGGGAAACUGGGGGUAAUACCGCAUACGCCCUUUUGGGGAAAGAUUUAUCGGAGAAGGAUCGGCCCGCGUUGGAUUAGGUAGUUGGUGGGGUAAUGGCCCACCAAGCCGACGAUCCAUAGCUGGUUUGAGAGGAUGAUCGGCCACACUGGGACUGAGACACGGCCCAGACUCCUACGGGAAGCAGCAGUGGGGAAUCUUAGACAAUGGGGGCAACCCUGAUCUAGCCAUGCCGCGUGAGUGAUGAAGGCCUUAGGGUUGUAAAGCUCUUUCAGCUGGGAAGAUAAUGACGGUACCAGCAGAAGAAGCCCCGGCUAACUCCGUG
This 433-nucleotide ribosomal RNA is filed under the name uncultured bacterium. RNAcentral's name for it is "partial 16S ribosomal RNA". It matches the Rfam family "Bacterial small subunit ribosomal RNA", at positions 29 to 507 of the family's 1533-position model. The record is from RNAcentral.